GAUGAACGCUGGCGGCGUGCCUAAUACAUGCAAGUCGAGCGAACAGACGAGGAGCUUGCUCCUCUGACGUUAGCGGCGGACGGGUGAGUAACACGUGGAUAACCUACCUAUAAGACUGGGAUAACUUCGGGAAACCGGAGCUAAUACCGGAUAAUAUAUUGAACCGCAUGGUUCAAUAGUGAAAGACGGUUUUGCUGUCACUUAUAGAUGGAUCCGCGCCGCAUUAGCUAGUUGGUAAGGUAACGGCUUACCAAGGCAACGAUGCGUAGCCGACCUGAGAGGGUGAUCGGCCACACUGGAACUGAGACACGGUCCAGACUCCUACGGGAGGCAGCAGUAGGGAAUCUUCCGCAAAGGGCGAAAGCCUGACGGAGCAACGCCGCGUGAGUGAUGAAGGUCUUCGGAUCGUAAAACUCUGUUAUUAGGGAAGAACAAAUGUGUAAGUAACUAUGCACGUCUAGACGGUACCUAAUCAGAAAGCCACGGCUAACUACGUG
RNAcentral lists this ribosomal RNA (497 nucleotides) under uncultured bacterium. Its description in RNAcentral is "partial 16S ribosomal RNA". It matches the Rfam family "Bacterial small subunit ribosomal RNA", at positions 28 to 507 of the family's 1533-position model. The record is from RNAcentral.